GGAAUUUUCCGCAAUGGGCGAAAGCCUGACGGAGUGACGCCGCGUGGGGGACGAAGGCCUUCGGGUUGUAAACCCCUGUCAGAGGGAAAGAAGCGUGCCGGUGUGAAUAGCGCCGGCACGUGCCGGUACCUUCCGCGGACGCCCCGGCCAACUCUGUGCCAGCAGCCGCGGUAAGACAGAGGGGGCAAGCGUUGCUCGGAAUCACUGGGCGUAAAGGGCGCGUAGGCGGGAUGGCAAGUCGGUCGUGAAAGCCCCCGGCUCAACCGGGGAGGGUCGACCGAUACUGCCAUUCUUGAGGGAUGCAGAGGAGACUGGAAUUCCCGGUGUAGCGGUGAAAUGUGUAGAGAUCGGGAGGAACACCGGUGGCGAAGGCGGGUCUCUGGGCAUCUCCUGACGCUGAGGCGCGAAAGCGUGGGGAGCAAAC
Molecule: ribosomal RNA, 424 nt
Filed under: uncultured bacterium
Lineage: Bacteria
Description: bacterial SSU rRNA
Rfam family: Bacterial small subunit ribosomal RNA
Source: RNAcentral